UGGGGACACCAACCACCGGGGACACUGGUGACCAACUGGAGUCAUCUCCAUUCCCCACCAGUGACCAACUGGAGUCAUCUCCAUUCACCACCACCAGUGACCAACUGGAAUCACCUCCAUUCACCACCACCACCAGUGACCAACUGGAGUCAUCUCCAUUCCCCACCACCACCUCUCUGGCCCAACCAUCCCACCAGAGUCCACCCAGGAGUUGGUUUCUCCAGGAGAACGUGGUGGAGGAACCAC
Molecule: long non-coding RNA, 246 nt
Filed under: Calidris pugnax (ruff)
Lineage: Eukaryota; Metazoa; Chordata; Aves; Charadriiformes; Scolopacidae
Description: lncRNA (ENSCPUG00000000493.1)
Source: RNAcentral